This 726-nucleotide long non-coding RNA is filed under the name Olea europaea (common olive). RNAcentral's name for it is "long non-coding RNA (OEUR_LNC003257)". Lineage: Eukaryota; Viridiplantae; Streptophyta; Magnoliopsida; Lamiales; Oleaceae. The record is from RNAcentral.
UUUUUUUCAACUUUCGAAUUACAUAUUUCAUCAAUUUUUAUCAAAAUUUCUAAAAAUUUGGUUUUUAGCUAAACCAGACGGGGGCUAAACGACUUCUGGUGGGAUUAACUAAUAUUUGUGUCAUAUCAUCUAGCCAAUUGGAGUAUUAAGGGUCCAAUAUAACUUAUUAAGUAUUUCCUAGUGCUUUGCAAUUGCAUAAACAUGUAUAAUUGUGUUGUAGGAUGUAAAUAAAUAUAUACCUACUUGUAAGUUUUUGUACGAAAAGGCAAAAGAAAUAACUAAUUUUUCAUAUUCUUCAUAUCUUUUUCUCUCUGUCUGUGUGGUUGUUUUUUCUUUGGUGAGGGCGAGGGUGUAUCAAAGGAUUUUUUCUCUUUUGUUGUUUAUGUUUCUUUCUUGUUUUCUUCUCUUCCCCCAUUCAAGUCAGGUUGAAAUGAUGAAACUAUUUCCCAAUCCAGGAACAAAUCAUUCCUCCUUGCACGCAGUUUGUUCUGCUUAUUUUUGCACGCAGUUUGUUUAAGUGCCUAUAUAUGUCACCUUAACUAAUACCACUACAAUUCCAGACCAGAUGGGAAUAUUGAUUGACCAUAUGAGUUGUACCAUGAAAUUGGAUUAACUGUAAUUGCUUGCCCAUUUUUGACAUUUUCACUUUUACACUAUAACACACCAAUCUUUGGACAGGCUAUACAGCCAUAUAUAGAAAACUAUUCAUUAACCUUCCAUUUCAAG